Long non-coding RNA from Branchiostoma belcheri (Belcher's lancelet), 261 nucleotides. RefSeq lists it as uncharacterized. Lineage: Eukaryota; Metazoa; Chordata; Leptocardii; Amphioxiformes; Branchiostomatidae. The record is from RefSeq and is a predicted model, not a curated record. The transcript is spliced from 3 exons.
CCUAAUAGUGAUACAAUGUUUCUCUCUUUGCAACUUAGGGAAUGGAGGUGCUAAACCUCCACACCCCAGGGCAUCACUACACCGAGGAGAAUUUGAGAGCUCAAACCUAACGUUGAUUUUACGACGAGUAGACCCGCAGUAUAAAGGACUACACGUGAAGACAUCCUAACUAGACACACAGGGAGAAGGACGGCCUGUGCCAGAAAUAUGACAAGGAUGCAAGAAGCAGGGAAUGAGACAUCUCUCAGCAUCUUCCAGUAC